GGGGGAAUUUAUUUAUUGCUUUCAGGCAGGCAGGGGAGGGUCAGUCGUCCUUCUUGUACCAGCUGUUUCUUAAGCAACUUUAAUUCAAAAUAACCAAGAUGUUAAAGUGGCACAUUUUGAGGCAGCCUGCCCUGAGCCCCGUCAAUGCCAUAGUCAAGGUAGAGCUCCAUUUUCUGAGUGGAGUUUGGGCAGAAGAAGGGGGCCCCACUUCUUAACUGCGCUCAUCUUGAACCCAACUUCUGCAACAGAUUGCCCUUGGGGAAUGACUGCCUCUUUGGCAAGAUGGCUCUUAGAUGCCCAGAACAAUUACCUGGAGAAAAGCCCAGCUGUGAGCAAUUAGCAAAUAACAGUAACAACAGUUGGUAUGAGAAGAACAUGCUCGGGUCAGCACUAGUUCCAGGAGAAAAACAAGUGAGAUGUGAAGCAGAGCUGGAUCAGCUGAGUUGCCCCAGUGGAACCCUCAAUAUCAGUCAACUGCCUGCCAGCCUGCAAACAUAUAAGUCAGUCCAGCUGAGAUUAGCAGAACCAUUAAUGAGCCCAGCCUAGAUCAGCUGACCCCAGCCAAACCAGAAACACGAGCUAAAUAAAUAUUUGUUGUUGCAUGGCACUGAGGUGUUAUGGUUGACGGUUAUACUGAAUCACUGUGAAAAUAGAUAAUUGAUAUGUGGUCAGACAAAAUAAUCUCAACUAACGCUAUGUUUUAUUACAUAUUGAUGAAAAUUUCUUCUGGCCUACUAUGUGAAAAAGUUUUAUAA
RNAcentral lists this long non-coding RNA (755 nucleotides) under Equus caballus (horse). RNAcentral describes it as "lncRNA (ENSECAG00000059775.1)". Lineage: Eukaryota; Metazoa; Chordata; Mammalia; Perissodactyla; Equidae. The record is from RNAcentral.